UACGUAGGGAGCAAGCGUUGUUCGGAUUUAUUGGGCGUAAAGGGCGCGUAGGCGGCCACGCACGUCCGUUGUGAAAUCGCCCGGCUCAACUGGGCGGGGUCGGCGGAUACGGCGUGGCUGGAGCAAGCUAGGGGGCAAUGGAAUUCCCGGUGUAGUGGUGGAAUGCGUAGAUAUCGGGAGGAACACCAGUGGCGAAGGCGGUUGCCUGGAGCUUUGCUGACGCUGAGGCGCGACAGCGUGGGGAGCAAACAGG
RNAcentral lists this ribosomal RNA (253 nucleotides) under uncultured bacterium. RNAcentral describes it as "partial 16S ribosomal RNA". It matches the Rfam family "Bacterial small subunit ribosomal RNA", at positions 524 to 776 of the family's 1533-position model. The record is from RNAcentral.